Molecule: long non-coding RNA, 1347 nt
Organism: Hyla sarda
Lineage: Eukaryota; Metazoa; Chordata; Amphibia; Anura; Hylidae
Exons: 4
Source: RefSeq, a predicted model, not a curated record
AACCAGCCUCUGAAGCAGUUUAGCCACAUUAGGCCUAUACGACCUCCAAAGCUGGUAACCCAUAGCAACCGAUCAGAAACCAGCUAGUAAACUGGUCUCUGGUUGCUAUGGGAACCAGCCUCUUAGGCAGCUUAGGCUAGGUUCAGACUACGGAAUUUCCGCUUUGAAAUUUCCGGCAGAAAUUCCGCUUACUAUAAUGCACAGUGUAGUGAAUGGUUUUCCGUUCACAAAUUCACACUUCGGAAUUUGUGAAGCGGAAAAUCCGGAUGAAAAAUCCACUAGAAAAUUUCCGCCUGAAGAAAGGGGUUGCUCUUUCUUCAGGCGGAAAUCCUAGCGGAACACAUAGCAGUCUAUAGGAGACUGCAGUGUCCACGCGGUCCUAGCGCCGACUAAUUCAGUCGGCGCAGGCGGAACUCGGAAUCUCUGGGCGAAAACUUUCUGCCCGGAGAUUCCGUAGACUGAACGUAGCCUUAGACCACGAGGCCUAUACUACCUCCAUAGCAACCAGAGAAGUGUAGAAAAUAGAAGCUAAGCUCUGAUUGGUUGCUACAGGUUACCAGCUUAACAUAAGGACCAAUCAGAACCUAGCUCUGAGCUGUGUGGAAAAUAAAAGCUGAACUCCAGUUGGUUGCUACGGGUAACCAGCUUCUGAGGCCUAAUGUCCAAGACGUGACCUGAACCCUCUUAUGCCGUGGCGGCUUCUUAACCCUUUAAUGACUGGGGGUGUUUGGUGCCAUGGUGUCCAGCCUGGCAAGAGUCCAAACUCAGGAAGUGUUUCUCUGCACGGAGCUUGAUUGACAGCUGCACAGAAAGUGAAAGCUCCACAGAUUGUCACAGAAAGCUGCACAGACUGAAAGCUGCAGGAGAGCCUCACUGAUGGCAACACAGACUGAAACAUGCACAGAGCCUGAGGUCUUCUAUUAAUCACAGCGCUGCAAUUAUGUGAGGGCGGAAGUGGUCCCCCAGCAGGCUUCAGUGAUGUAAUGUCUCCUGGGAAACACCUACUUUCUUCUGCUGGGAGAUUGCACAAUAUGAGCAAGAAUAAAGGAGAGAGAGGAAGGAAGAAAGGAGGAGGAGGAGGAGGAGACCCUACAGACCUCACCUGGUACCUGCCCAGAUCCAUAUGCAAAGCAUGCUGGGAAAGAGAAAGCAGCGACAGUGAGAACAAGCAAGCGAAACGCAGAGCGGUAUAGAAAAACAACCCGCCAGAUGAAGUGUUCAGAGAGUCGUUCCUCUGCUCCAUUAACAUAUUACUCUGUUCAACGUACCUGCACGAAGAGGAUGGAGAUUGUGAGGAUAUUAACACCAAAAAAGAAACAAAAUGCAAUAGAAGACAAAUAACUAAAG